UUUCCAGCAGUAGUCAGCUGUCUGGACAGAACCAUUCCUGGGAUGGUGUUACACUGCUGGGAGAAGAAUGUCUUCUCUUCAUCCAGUUGCCUCCAUCACUGUUCUGGUGGUGUCUGGCACUGGUGCAAGGCAGAACUGUGCUUCCUUGAGAGUGUGCUGAGCAUUCACCUUGGCUGCUUGGUUCUAGUCUGGGAGCAGACACAG
This 204-nucleotide small nucleolar RNA is filed under the name Homo sapiens (human). RNAcentral describes it as "small nucleolar RNA, H/ACA box 74C-2 (SNORA74C-2)". It matches the Rfam family "Small nucleolar RNA SNORA74". From Rfam's summary of the family: U19 belongs to the H/ACA class of snoRNAs. snoRNAs bind a number of proteins (including dyskerin, Gar1p and Nop10p in the case of the H/ACA class) to form snoRNP complexes. This class are thought to guide the sites of modification of uridines to pseudouridines by forming direct base pairing interactions with substrate RNAs. The record is from RNAcentral. Lineage: Eukaryota; Metazoa; Chordata; Mammalia; Primates; Hominidae.